This is a non-coding RNA of Rattus norvegicus (Norway rat), 7239 nucleotides long. The record is from RefSeq and is a predicted model, not a curated record. NCBI's taxonomy places the organism in Eukaryota, Metazoa, Chordata, Mammalia, Rodentia, Muridae.
UCUUCUAGCAAUUCCUCCUGUGUGUACCUUCAUGUUUCCAUCUGUCAUGCUUUGCUGGUCCCUGAUGAUUUAGCCAUUUCAGAAUGACUGAACAGCACAGAUCAUUCACAGAUCGAGGUCUAUGCCCAACACCUGCCUUCUCCUUCUCUUUCUCUACAGUGUGAUUACAUCAGAGCUUGGCUGUAGAGAGCGGCGCGGUGAAACAAAGAUGGCGCCGACAUCCAGCCUUGUCUGGAUAUAAACGACUUACUGCGCAUGUGCAGGCUUGUCCCCUUGCUAGGGCUCCCUCUAGUGGUGAACAGCGGUACUGCACAUGUGCGGUUUAUUCACCAGGUGUUAGUUGACCGUUAAUAUGCUAAUGAGGUGAUUCAUUCUCCGCCAAUCCCUGGAGGACAAGUAGUGGGGUGAUCCAAGCCCCACCAAUCCCUGAGAGAUAAUUAGCAUACUGCUGUCUAUAUAAGCCGAGCGAUUUUGCUGCUCGGGGUCCCUGUUCAAGAGAGCUGUAACACUGAGAAGAGCUGUAACACUAAGAAGAGCUGUAACACAGUAAAGGCUUGCUCGCAGAAGAAUCCUGUUGCCACGCGUCGUUCUUGCUGGCGGGACAUUGGGCGCGCGACAAGUGGUGCCGAGACCCGGGAACCAACAUCGCCGGUGCCAGGGGACCCUUCAGUGUGCUGAAGAGGAUUCAGAACUGCGAGAAGGUAAAUUAAAAGGUAAGCUUCGAGAGGCAUGCCACUUUUUGGAAGAGAGCAUGUCAGAAACGGAGCAGAGUGAGAAAUUAGGCUUCGAGAGGCAUGCCCCUUUUUGGAUUUAAGAGAGCAUGUCAGAAACGGAGCAGAGGCAGAAAUGGAGCAGAGUGAGAAAUUAGGAGCUCGCAAAAAGAAAAAGGUUACUAAAACAAAAGUGAAAGAAAUACAAAAGGCAGAAGAAAUGCCGCUGGAGGAAAAAAUAAGAGUGCCCCGGAGGACGAAGUACAAGUCAUCCGGAGAGGAUACUUUGUAUCCAUUAAAAGAAUUAGAAGCCUUAGAACUGGCUGGCAGUGACUCUGAGCAAGAGUUGUCAGAGUCCGAGGAGGAGGAAUUAGAGGAAGAGGCAGCCAUAUAUGAGGAAGAAAGAUAUGGGCCUAGGUGGAGAGCCACUGUGAAGAAACCUAAAGUUAUGGAUCCUUUGUGGGCAAGGCUGGUAAUUUUGUUUCUUUUUUUCUUUGUGUGGGAUAGAGAAGCCACAGACAGCAAGCUUAAGCCUGGACCAAAACCUCUUUGGCGAAUGGUCCCUGCCUGCUUAGAGGAUAAACGAUGUGAGGAAGCCAUUAGAGCCGUUAGGACAGGUCAGAGGGUCCUUGCAGAACAACAAGAAAGUAUGUCAGAGGGAGAAAAGGUCUCGAAAGAAAAAGAGAAAAGAAAAGGAGAUAAAAGGAACAGAGAGAAGGCAGAGAUAAAAAAUGGGGUCAGUGCAGCUUUUGUUGUGGCUCAAGUUGAGGCUAUUGCUAGGUAUGUGAUUAGGCUGUGGAAACCUCACAGAGUCAUACUGAUCAGAUUUGAUAGAGGUAGACCGCCUGAAAAUUUAUUCAGGAGAAUCAAACAAAAAGAUAAACUUGAGUGUGCCUACUUGGAUUCCUGGUCUCAAGGAGAUUUAGCAAGUGACAAGGUGCUUUUCUUAAAAAAGCAGUUUCAAUUGGCCCUUGGAGCCUUGCACCUGUAGCUAAGAUAUGUGUAGCCACUUCAAUUUUGUUUUCUGAUUGGUUUUAAAUGUAUAAAUAUUCUCUACAUGCCUUGGUUAUGGACUAUUGGCUUUUAAGUUAUUGGAUAUGGUUUAAAAAAAUGUAACAUUGAUAACAAAGUUGACAUAAAACUGGUAAAAUUUAAAAUAUGCUCAUGUUUCUGUUGAUACCUGUUCCGGUAUUAUACACGCUACUCUGAUGACUGGUGAAAAGGCUUGUAAUGCCAUUAGCCAUUGCUUAGAGGCAUGGGCAGCCUGGGGAAAGCCUGAUAGUCUCAAGACAGACAACGGGCCUGCCUACACUGCUAAGUCCUUUCAGGCAUUUUGUCAGACAAUGCAGGUCAAACAUACUAAAGGAUUGCCAUACAAUCCUCAGGGUCAAGGAAUUGUGGAAAGAGUACAUCGUACCUUAAAAGAGCUUAUACACAAAUCAAAAGAGGGAAUUGCCAGCGGCCAAACACCAAAAGGACAACUUUCUUUGGCUCUUUUUACUCUAAAUUUCUUAAUUUUGGAUGCGCAUGGCCGCUCUGCCGCAGAUCGCCAUGCUGCUACUAUACCUAUAACUAAUGCAGAAGUAAAGUGGAAGGAUGUCUUAACUGAUGAAUGGUGUGGCCCAGAUCCCAUGAUUUCGAGAUCUAGGGGAGCGAUUUGUGUUUUUCCGCAGAAUCAAGAAAAUCCAAUUUGGGUACCUGAGCGUUUGACUCGAAGAUUGUCUUCUGCUCUUCCUGAAGAUGAGACUAUGAACCCUACUAUUACUACUGGGGAUGGUAAUACAGGUUAAUUCGCUCACCCUGUGGGCUAUUGCCAGAUCCUGGCCAGUACCCAUGCCAGUUCAUAGCAAUUCUACUGUUUUGAGAAUAAGAAUGACAAGCAUAAUCUCUGGCCUUGGUUUCAAUGGGUGCUGUCCAAUGAGCAAGGGUUAUAUACAUCCCUGACCCCCUUUGCUAGGUUGAUGGGAGAGAACUUCGUGCUGUAUAGUGUUUCAGCUACCAGAAAAAGGUGAUACCAGGUUGAUCAAUAUUCAAUAUAAUAACCUCUUGGUAAAUAAUACUGCCACUAGUACUUCAGUAUGUGCUAGAUCACCUUUUUUCUGAUAAGCACUAAUGUAAGCAGUGGUGCUUUAAAUUAUAAUAGCUCUGAUGUAGUCUGCUAUUUAGCUGAAUGCUGGGAUGGCACCAAUGACACCGCAGUGAUGGUUAAGAUUCCCUCCUUUGUGCCAAUCCCAGUGGAGGCAAACCCAGAUAGCUUUCCUAUUCUUAAUUUGCUGAAAGCCAAAAGAGAUUUUGGAAUUAUGGCAGCCAUAAUUUCAGCCAUUGUGCUGUCUGCUGCCGCAGCUACCACAGCUGCAAUCGCUAUGACCAAUCAAAUACAGACAGCUGAGACUGUCAAUCAGAACUGCAGUGGCGCUAGAGAUACAAAAAGAAUUUAAUACCCAUUUGGCAUCUGGCCUUCUAUUAGCCAAUCAAAGGAUAGAUUUAGUUCAAGAACAAAUUGAAGCACUGUAUCAUAUGACACAGCUGUCUUGCGUUUCCUCCCUUAGAGGUUUAUGCAUUACUCCUUUGCGAAAUAACUUUUCUCAGAAUUUUCAACAGAGCAAAGAAAUCUCGAAUUAUCUGAAAGGAAACUGGUCCAUGAAAGCAGAGCAACUAUCAAGACAAUUGCUGAUGCAGAUUGCUGUCCUCAACAGCACUAGGCUGGACCCCAUCACAGUUGAAGACUUUACCUCAUGGGUUACCGAUGCUUUCUCCCUUUUUAAGGAGUGGGCGGGCAUGUUUGUCCCGAGGAGCUAUUGUCCUCCUGGGUUGCGGAGUAGGUCUCUGGCUUAUUGGCUGUUUAAAAAAGAGAACAUGCCAGACACAAAGUGGUUGUUUACCAGGCUAUGACCACCAUUAAAAAGGGUACUUCUCCCAACAUAUGGCUGGCCUCUUUGAAAGAUCAAGAGUUCGCCCUAGAUCAUUUUUGUCACAGUCAUGUGGAGUCAUUGUAUCCAGGGACGGGCAACUUUCCUCGAACUCGGACCAACCUAAGACACGGGGCCCGGUGGCGAUAGGGUAACUCUAUGACGGGUAAGGCCAAGUUUGGAUGAGAACGACCUAAGACAGGAGCAAUGACAAGAUUGACGUGACACCCAGAUCUAGACCAGUCAUUUUAUUAAACAAAAAAGGGGGAGAUGUAGAGAGCGGCGCGGUGAAACAAAGAUGGCGCCGACAUCCAGCCUUGUCUGGAUAUAAACGACUUACUGCGCAUGUGCAGGCUUGUCCCCUUGCUAGGGCUCCCUCUAGUGGUGAACAGCGGUACUGCACAUGUGCGGUUUAUUCACCAGGUGUUAGUUGACCGUUAAUAUGCUAAUGAGGUGAUUCAUUCUCUGCCAAUCCCUGAAGGACAAGUAGUGGGGUGAUCCAAGCCCCACCAAUCCCUGAGAGAUAAUUAGCAUACUGCUGUCUAUAUAAGCCGAGCGAUUUUGCUGCUUGGGGUCCCUGUUCAAGAGAGCUGUAACACUGAGAAGAGCUGUAACACUAAGAAGAGCUGUAACACAGUAAAGGCUUGCUCGCAGAAGAAUCCUGUUGCCAUGCGUCGUUCUUGCUGGCGGGACAUUGGGCGCGCGACACUUGGCACCCAUAAUUAGCUUGUGUUUGCUUUAUUCUAUCUAGGCAAAGGCGGUGUAACCACGAGGUGAUCAGACUGGCCACGUAUGUUUCUUUCACUCAGCUUCUACACUUCCUCUGGUGAAACAACCUGGUUACUGGUUGUUUUCUUUCUUCCACGGACAGACAGUGUUCCACUCACAUAACUGAUAUUUCCCCUCUGACAGUGGGUUGAGUACAAGCCUGACAAAGCAUGUAACACUGGCAUGUUCUGGAUGAUCUCUCACCUCCGUUUUCUCUGGGCUUUUACUUCCAACUUCAUUAUCUUUUCUUAACACAGAUCUUCCGUCCACCUGCCCAGAUGCCUGGAGUCUCCCAAGACCAGGCCCACUAGGUUUUGUCUCAUUGUAGGCCAAUUUUUGUUUUAGUUCUUGGUUUCGCCUUUUAUGUGUGCAACUUGACUUUCUAACAGAUUCCCCAUAAGAGAGAAGGAUAUAUUUUAAAACCUUUUCUGGAUUUGAAAGUGCUGUUAUUGAGCCUUCUCAUCUGAUUGGGUUAUAGAGCAGAUAGGUCACUCUGGAUUAAUACCAGAUAGGUCACUUUCCCUCAGAAUUAGAAGGUACUUUCUACUGCCUUCUAGUAUACCAUGAUGCCCUGAAGAAGUAUCAUACCAUUUCAUUCUUGGUCCUUUCAAGAAGUAAACACCCUUUCUUUUGGUAAAUCUGAGAAAAUAUUCUGGAUACUUGGAGAUACCUGCUGUAAUUUUUACUCACUGACUUGGGUAAGCAGCAUCUUUUCCAGCAAGAGGCCUGGGUUCCUCAUUUCUGGGAACUUUUAAAAAAUAUAAUUUUUUUAUUUGUUGAAUUUAUAGUAUAAUUAUAUCAUUUUCCCCAUUCCUUUCCUCCCUCUAGAUCCUUCCAUGUGAGCCCUUAAAUCUAUGGCUUUCUUUUCCUUUAAUUAUUGUCGCGCGCACGCGUGUGUGUGUGUGUGUGUUGUUUAGGGAACCAUACUGGUAAGACUUCACCACCAAAAUUAAACCAGGAAGAAACCUAUAUCCUAAACAGAUCGGUAACAAAUGAACAGACUGAAAUAGUAACAAAAAGUCUUCCAACAAAAAAGUCCUGGGCCUGAUAGAUUGACAGCAAAAUUCUACCAGACUUUGAAAGAUCUACAGCCAAACUUUCUUAAACUAUUAAAAAUAAAAAACAAACAAAUAACAACCAAAACCAAACAAAAAACCAUUAACAGAUCACUCUCAAAUUCCUUCAAUAAAGUUGUCUCUCUCUCUGACACCCAACCAGGUAAUGAUACAAGGAGAACUACAGGUCAAUCUCCCUGAGGAAUGUAGAUUCAAAAACACUCAAUAAAAUGUCUGCAACCCAAAUACAGACAUACAUGAAGAAUAUUACCCACCAGGGAUAAAGAUGGCUUCAUCCCUGAGAUGCAAGGAAGGUUCAACAUAAAUGGACCAAAUGGCAAAAGAUGCAGAAAAAGCAUCUGACAAAAUCUAGCAUGCCUUCAUGAAAAAAGUCCCAGAGAAAGUCAGGUAGAAGGAACAUACUUCAAUAUAAUAGAAGCUAUAGAAGAGAAACUCACACCAACAUCAUUCUAAAUGAAGGAAAACUUGAAGCAACCCUACAGAAUUCAGGAAGGAGACAGAGCUGUCCAUCAUCCACACUCCUUUUCAAGACUGUGUUGGAAGACACAGCAAGAGCAAUAAGGAAAGAGAAGAGAACUAGAGGGUACAAGGAGGCAUGAUUAGUCCAAGGAUCCCUGUUUGCAGAUGGCGUAUUGUAUAGAAGAGAUUCCAAAAAUUCUACCGGAAAACUUCUAGGAACAACUAAUUCAACAAUGUGACAGGAUAUAGAAUCUACUUGCCCAAAUCAGUAGCGUUUCUACACCUCUACAGUAAACACACAGAGGAGAUCAUGGACACAUGCCCAUUUGCAACAGCCUCAAAGAAAAUAGAGUAUCAGGAGGUGAGUGAGUCCCUAACAAAAGCUUUGCUGUAUUUUUGAUGAUUUUUCUCUACCAUAGUUUCUAUCUUUGAAGCUCCCUCCUAUUAUCAGUAGAGGGUCUUCUGAAUCUAGCCUCCAUUUUCUCUUUCUAGAGUUCUUGUUUCUUACUAUUUGAAAAAAAAAAUAUCUAGCUCAGCUGUUCAGCGUUUCUAUUAAAUUAGUUUCCUCACACCUUUAAUUAAAAGGAGCCUUUGUAUUCUGUGUGUGGUUUUGGUGACAGCAUGUAAUUCUAGUUUUAUGGGCACAGUUUUAUUUCUGGAAGAAUUCUAGUGUUUCUAACUUUUCUCCCACUUUCUACCCUUUCAGAGUUCUCUUUACAUUUUGGCUUCACUUGACUCAGAAGUUACCCACACUGUCUGCUAGUCCUUGGCUGGCCUCUUCUAUGUAGAAGAGAGACACUGAAAAUAUGGAAGCUUUGAGUGCUGAGUUUGGUGGCUUUACAAGGAAGGGGACCAGAUGACCAGCUAGCUUCUCACUGCCGCCCCCAGCAUUUCCUCCGUAUUGGAGACUGUAGUGUCAGAAGUGUGGGCACAGAACUGUUCAGAGGCCCUGCGGUCACCACUGUGGAAAGAGGCCAUUCACCUGUGGUUUGUUUAGUUUCUCUACUUCCUCUGGCUUCUGCUGGCUGAAGCAGCAGCAGCCUUGUUGCUAUUUCAUGCAGAAACAAGUGAUGCUGCCCACCUGAGCAGACUUAAAAGAGGGUAGUGAAUGCAGUCCCAAUCCUGUAAUUUUACCCCAAGACCUACUUCUGCAUGCUGGUUAGGCUUCAGGCAGAGAGGACCAAACAGCACCCGAGUUUCAGAAAGCUGACACUCAACUGUCAUCCCGUGGCUGGAAGAAGCUCAGUGGGAAAGAAUGUCUAUUGUGUAAGCACAAGGGCCUGAGUUCAAAUCCUCAACACAGAUGUAAAAGACCAA